CCACAUACCUGUUUUACACAUAGGACCUGCUCAAAGGAACACACAAUGCUGUUUGAUAUUGACGCCAGCAGUCCUUUUGCAUCUGGAAUGACACUUGAAAAGGAGAAGAUGCAAGUCGGACGUGAACGGAGAGAAGACCUUUAGGGAGACUGCCAUGUCGCUUCUGGAAGAAGAUAAUCAUAAUAAUGCUUGCUGUUGCUCGGGUAUAAAACUGUACAACCUGAUCCAGUGUCAUCCUUCGUGUGAAU
Molecule: long non-coding RNA, 248 nt
Organism: Oreochromis niloticus (Nile tilapia)
Lineage: Eukaryota; Metazoa; Chordata; Actinopteri; Cichliformes; Cichlidae
Exons: 3
Source: RefSeq, a predicted model, not a curated record